UUUUUUUUUUUUGCCCCUUUUAUGUCCUGUAGAUAACCUUAUGGUGUCUCAUUAACAGCAGGAAGAAUUUCUUCCAAUGCGUCAUUACAAUGAGCUUUAAUAUGAAAGUGAGACUUCAAUAUUAUCAGUGGUACAAUGCUCACAUUUGGAGGCCAAUCCCACAUUGAGAGCUGAGCUGAGUAGAAAGAAUAGGAAAACAAUUAAUUUCUCUAAUUACAUUUUACCUUAUCCCACGUAGUGUAAAACAAAACAAAAACAAAACAAAACAAGACAAAACAACCAACCAGACAAACCAAAAGCCCCAAGAAGAGCAGGGGCAAGAAAGAAAGAGGAGGAAGAUCAGAGACAGGGGAAAAGAGAGAGAGUACUAAAAUGUCUUUCCUCUAGGGCAUUGUCUUUAACUCUCUGGGCAGGAAGGGCCUGGUAAUUAAACGCUGUAGCUAUGUGUUACUAAUGAGAGUACUACCCUACACCCAAGCCGGGUCCACCUAAGUCGGUCUUACAGGCUGCUCAAUUUCAGCACAGAGUACAUUUAGCACAGAGCAGAGUGACUAAUGAGCAGUCCUUGAAGCAAAAGAAAACCAAGGAUGUUUUCAAUCAUCGGAUUUUGCUACCACACACUUACUGCUGCUGAUUACAUUUGUCCUUGGGGCACUGUUUAAAGAUCUGCU
RNAcentral lists this long non-coding RNA (671 nucleotides) under Mus musculus (house mouse). Its description in RNAcentral is "long non-coding RNA chr10:73887452-73888123". Lineage: Eukaryota; Metazoa; Chordata; Mammalia; Rodentia; Muridae. The record is from RNAcentral.